This 1522-nucleotide ribosomal RNA is filed under the name Escherichia coli. RNAcentral describes it as "bacterial SSU rRNA". It matches the Rfam family "Bacterial small subunit ribosomal RNA". The record is from RNAcentral. RNAcentral also lists the same sequence under 4 other names. Lineage: Bacteria; Pseudomonadati; Pseudomonadota; Gammaproteobacteria; Enterobacterales; Enterobacteriaceae.
AGAGUUUGAUCAUGGCUCAGAUUGAACGCUGGCGGCAGGCCUAACACAUGCAAGUCGAACGGUAACAGGAAGCAGCUUGCUGCUUUGCUGACGAGUGGCGGACGGGUGAGUAAUGUCUGGGAAACUGCCUGAUGGAGGGGGAUAACUACUGGAAACGGUAGCUAAUACCGCAUAACGUCGCAAGACCAAAGAGGGGGACCUUCGGGCCUCUUGCCAUCGGAUGUGCCCAGAUGGGAUUAGCUUGUUGGUGGGGUAACGGCUCACCAAGGCGACGAUCCCUAGCUGGUCUGAGAGGAUGACCAGCCACACUGGAACUGAGACACGGUCCAGACUCCUACGGGAGGCAGCAGUGGGGAAUAUUGCACAAUGGGCGCAAGCCUGAUGCAGCCAUGCCGCGUGUAUGAAGAAGGCCUUCGGGUUGUAAAGUACUUUCAGCGGGGAGGAAGGGAGUAAAGUUAAUACCUUUGCUCAUUGACGUUACCCGCAGAAGAAGCACCGGCUAACUCCGUGCCAGCAGCCGCGGUAAUACGGAGGGUGCAAGCGUUAAUCGGAAUUACUGGGCGUAAAGCGCACGCAGGCGGUUUGUUAAGUCAGAUGUGAAAUCCCCGGGCUCAACCUGGGAACUGCAUCUGAUACUGGCAAGCUUGAGUCUCGUAGAGGGGGGUAGAAUUCCAGGUGUAGCGGUGAAAUGCGUAGAGAUCUGGAGGAAUACCGGUGGCGAAGGCGGCCCCCUGGACGAAGACUGACGCUCAGGUGCGAAAGCGUGGGGAGCAAACAGGAUUAGAUACCCUGGUAGUCCACGCCGUAAACGAUGUCGACUUGGAGGUUGUGCCCUUGAGGCGUGGCUUCCGGAGCUAACGCGUUAAGUCGACCGCCUGGGGAGUACGGCCGCAAGGUUAAAACUCAAAUGAAUUGACGGGGGCCCGCACAAGCGGUGGAGCAUGUGGUUUAAUUCGAUGCAACGCGAAGAACCUUACCUGGUCUUGACAUCCACGGAAGUUUUCAGAGAUGAGAAUGUGCCUUCGGGAACCGUGAGACAGGUGCUGCAUGGCUGUCGUCAGCUCGUGUUGUGAAAUGUUGGGUUAAGUCCCGCAACGAGCGCAACCCUUAUCCUUUGUUGCCAGCGGUCCGGCCGGGAACUCAAAGGAGACUGCCAGUGAUAAACUGGAGGAAGGUGGGGAUGACGUCAAGUCAUCAUGGCCCUUACGACCAGGGCUACACACGUGCUACAAUGGCGCAUACAAAGAGAAGCGACCUCGCGAGAGCAAGCGGACCUCAUAAAGUGCGUCGUAGUCCGGAUUGGAGUCUGCAACUCGACUCCAUGAAGUCGGAAUCGCUAGUAAUCGUGGAUCAGAAUGCCACGGUGAAUACGUUCCCGGGCCUUGUACACACCGCCCGUCACACCAUGGGAGUGGGUUGCAAAAGAAGUAGGUAGCUUAACCUUCGGGAGGGCGCUUACCACUUUGUGAUUCAUGACUGGGGUGAAGUCGUAACAAGGUAACCGUAGGGGAACCUGCGGUUG